UCCUAUGAUGGCAUGUAAUCUUUGAGACCUGAUUAUUUUCACUGGAUGACAACUACCAAGCAUAAUUGCUGAGGAC
Molecule: small nucleolar RNA, 76 nt
Organism: Populus nigra (black poplar)
Lineage: Eukaryota; Viridiplantae; Streptophyta; Magnoliopsida; Malpighiales; Salicaceae
Product: small nucleolar RNA R66
Exons: 1
Source: RefSeq, a predicted model, not a curated record